CCCUUAGAUGUUCUGGGCCGCACGCGUGCUACACUGAGUGGAUCAGCGGGUCAGGUUGCGCGAAAGUGUUUCCUAAUCUUUAAAUCCGCUCGUGAUGGGGAUUGACGGUUGCAAUUUUCCGUCAUGAACGAGGAAUACCUUGUAAGCGCGGGUCAUCAUCCCGCGCUGAAUACGUCCCUGCCCUUUGUACACACCGCCCGUCGCUCCUACCGAUUGAGUGGUCCGGUGAGGCUUUGGGAUCUGAGCGGAAAGAGCGUUUCGCUGUUUCUGCUCGGAAAACUCAGUCGAACCUCAUCAUUUAGAGGAAGGAGAAGUCGUAACA
Molecule: ribosomal RNA, 322 nt
Filed under: uncultured eukaryote
Lineage: Eukaryota
Description: partial 18S ribosomal RNA
Rfam family: Eukaryotic small subunit ribosomal RNA
Source: RNAcentral